CCAGCGGUGCCGCGCCGGGCGCCCCGCGUUCGGGCCAGUUCCGACCGGUCGGCGUUGGGGUGAGGGCUGAUCGCGCUGUCGUACGCGCCUCGUCGGCUGUGUGUAACAGCUGUUGCGUAGUACACGGUACGGGUCGCGUGCGUCGAUUGGGGGACUGCGUCGGCGCGCGUCGGUGGUUCGGGGGAGUGCGUGGAGUCGGGACGCGUCGGUGGCAGGCUGUGCGGCGGUGAGCGACAGUCAACGCUAGCGCGGUGUCGCUGCUCGCCUGCUGACGUGAGGAGAGCUGCAACGACCGGUUGGACGAGGCCAGCGCUGGGUUCGGAGAGGACCAGCAUGGACAACAUGGUGACGCGCUGGCUGGAGAAGCUGAGGGAGAACCCGCCGCCCUGGCAGGGGGUGGUCGUCUGCGUGUGCGGCUUCGUCCUGGAGCUGACUCUCGGGGCUAUCUUCACAUUUGGCAACUUGACCACCUACAUGACGUCCUACAUGAGGGACCGCCUGGAUCCCACCAUCAACUACGCCCAGCUGAUGUGGGUCUCGGCGAGCCUGUCUUUCUUCGAGGGUCUGACCCUCUCCCUGGGUAGCUGGCUGACCAACAGGAUCGGCGCCCGAUGGACAGCCUUCAUCGGGUGCUCACUGGUCACGUCGGGGGUGUCGUUGUGCUACUUCGCCGUGCAGCACUCUGUCUGGUUGGUGGCUCUGCUGUUCGGCGUCAUCAAUGGACUCGGAGUCGGCAUCGCCUACGUGGUGCCUCUCGUCUGCGGCAUGUCGUGGUUUCCGAAUUCAAAAGGAACAUCUAACGGCUUCAUUGUCGGAGGGUUUGGCCUCGGAGCUCUCGUAUUCAACAGCAUGCAAACGGCGUUUCUGAAUCCCAACAACAUCUCCCCAGCGGAAGACGGCUACUUCAAGGACCAGCAGCUGCUGUCCCAGGUGCCGUACGUCUUUCUCCUUACCGGCGGCGUCUACAUCGUCCUGCAGGCUCUGGCCAUUGCCGGCAUGAUCAAGAAGCCGGUGCCGCUCAAAGAGAGCGAUGACUGCCAGGAGCUCGGCGUGGAACUGCAGGCGACCGCCGACGGGAUGAAGCCCGAGGACCCGUCCUCCGACCCCGGCGCGGCCGACCAGGAGCCAGAGGAGGGUAGCGCGGCCGACUACAGCAGCAGCAUGACCAUCAUGCAGGCCGUGAAGACGCCGACCUUCUGGCAGCUGUUCGUCACCUAUCUCUGCAACAAUCUCUGCAUCGGCUUCAUCAACCCGCUCUGGAAGACGUUUGGACAGCAGUUUAUUCAGGACGACCGUUUCCUGUCCGCCGUGGGCUCGGCAGCUUCUGUGUUUAACCUGUUGGGACGCGUCAUCUGGGGCUUCGUCAACGACAGGACCAACUACCGGGUGGCGAUGCUGGGAGUGGCCGGUCUUCUCCUGACCAUGUUCGCUACUCUGUACCUGACCAUCCACGGCGGGAAGGCCAUGUUCCUCAUCUGGGUGUGCCUCGUCUACAUGUCUUUCCCGGGCACCUUCUCCAUCAUGCCGGCUGAGGUGGCCCACGUCUUCGGUCUGCAGCACGCCGGCGAGAUAUACGGCCUGAUCUGGCUCAGCGGCGGCCUGGUGGCGCCCAUCCCCGUGUUUCUCACCGACCUGCUGCUGCAGAGGUUCGGCUACCUGGCGCUCUUCCUCACAUCGGCCGUCUUUCCGACACUCAGCGUGAUCUGCACACUGACCUUCCGUGGAGAGUCAACGAGGCGUCAGCGACUGCAACCCAAGGCGAUCAAAAACGGAAACUCGAUAUAAACUUUCUAAGUACGAGUACUUUUUUUGUUUAUUUGCAUUUAGCUUAAAAGUCUGAAUGAAUUGUAGUACCUAAUCAAGUUUCCACUAAGGAAAACCUGUUUUGAUUAUUCGCUAUUUAGUAGUAGGUACCCUAGUUGUUUAAUUGGUGGUUUAUACCUGAGCGAGCUACUCGGGCUCUUCAAUCUGGCUUUCUGCUUCAGGCGUAUGUUAAUGGUCCGUUUGUUUCCUAUGCCGCCAUGUUUGGUGACAAUGGUUGCGAAGUGCCUUGAUGUAUUCUCCCGGUUCUCUUUUUCAUGUAUCUCGCUCGUUUCUGUGCCUGGUGCCUUAGUUUCAUCUUCUUGUCAUUCAACAUUAUUGGGUGCUCUAGCAAGAAAUAUAUGGAAGACAAUUAAACAAACAAAUGUAGUUGACUUGUUCCUCGACAUGGAAAAUGCUCCAACCGAAAGCUCACCGUUUUUACUAUUCGGUUUGCCUUGUAGGUACCUUUUUGAUGUCGGGAAAAAUGUCAACUUCAUUUAUUUGUUUAAUUAUCUCCUUGUCAUUUAUUGGCCAGUUAUGUUAGACACAAAGCGUGUCUGCACUCAAUCGACUUAGCGGGUCCAUUCACAUGUAAGUGAUUUGUGCGUUUUCGCUUAUCGAAACUACGGUCAUGUACAAAUAUCAAGAGAGCGAUCAUGCAUUGAUGAGAUUCGGAACAGAGGCGGUCAUACGCCAAUGAAGUGAGCUGGGACAUGGCUUAGGUGAACAGUGAUGAUGCUUAAUUGUUUUUGGGGCUGCCUUAAUCAUGUAAUGGAAGUAUGACUGACUGUAAAAGAGUGUUUGAUAAUGUCAUAGUGUGGUUCAGCGUCAGAGAUUUGCUAUACGAAAUGUUUCACUGAAAAAGUCUUUGGUAGACGUUUGCGUAGCAAUGCUCUUAGCAUUGACACUUGAUACUAUGAACGGUAGUCCUUUGUGCUGCUUCGGGCUUCCUGCGAAUACGCGUAUGUAAUCCUUGUCGAAGGCGUAUUUUCUUCUCCGAGACCCGCUGACGCUGACCAUGUACAUGUGAAUGAUGUGUUGGCAUUAUAUAAGAUGUCGGGGUUCCGGGCACAAUACACUGUGUGCAGCU
RNAcentral lists this unclassified non-coding RNA (2893 nucleotides) under Amphibalanus amphitrite. RNAcentral's name for it is "uncharacterized MFS-type transporter YhjX-like, transcript variant X1". Lineage: Eukaryota; Metazoa; Arthropoda; Thecostraca; Balanomorpha; Balanidae. The record is from RNAcentral.